AUUGAACGCUGGCGGCAGGCUUAACACAUGCAAGUCGAGCGGUAACAGAGAGAAGCUUGCUUCUCUGCUGACGAGCGGCGGACGGGUGAGUAAUGCCUAGGAAUCUGCCUAGUAGUGGGGGAUAACUUGCCGAAAGGUAAGCUAAUACCGCAUACGUCCUACGGGAGAAAGGAGGGGACCUUCGGGCCUUUCGCUAUUAGAUGAGCCUAGGUCGGAUUAGUUAGUUGGUGAGGUAAUGGCUCACCAAGACCGCGAUCCGUAACUGGUCUGAGGGGAUGAUCAGUCACACUGGAACUGAGACACGGUCCAGACGCCUACGGGAGGCAGCAGUGGGGAAGAUUGGACAAUGGGGGGAACCCUGAUCCAGCCAUGCCGCGUGUGUGAAGAAGGUCUUAGGAUUGUAAAGCACUUUAAGUUGGGAGGAAGAGCAGUUAACUAAUAUUUGACUGUUUUGACGUUACCGACAGAAUAAGCACCGGCUAACUUCGUGCCAGCAGCCGCCGCGG
This 506-nucleotide ribosomal RNA is filed under the name uncultured bacterium. RNAcentral's name for it is "partial 16S ribosomal RNA". It matches the Rfam family "Bacterial small subunit ribosomal RNA", at positions 30 to 523 of the family's 1533-position model. The record is from RNAcentral.